Molecule: ribosomal RNA, 468 nt
Filed under: uncultured bacterium
Lineage: Bacteria
Description: partial 16S ribosomal RNA
Rfam family: Bacterial small subunit ribosomal RNA
Source: RNAcentral
GACGAACGCUGGCGGCGUGCUUAACACAUGCAAGUCGAACGGAAAGGCCCUGCUUUUGUGGGGUGCUCGAGUGGCGAACGGGUGAGUAACACGUGAGUAACCUGCCCUUGACUUUGGGAUAACUUCAGGAAACUGGGGCUAAUACCGGAUAGGAGCUCCUGCUGCAUGGUGGGGGUUGGAAAGUUUCGGCGGUUGGGGAUGGACUAGCGGCUUAUGAGAUUGUUGGAGGGGUAGUGGCUGAGCAAGCCUUGGAAGCGUAGCCGGCCUGGGCGGGUGAGCGGCCCAGUCGGGCCGGGACUGCGGCACAGACUCCUCCGGUACGCAGCAGUGGGGUAUAUUGUACUAUGGGCGGAAGCCUGACGUAGCCACGCAGCGCGCGGGAUGACGGCCUUCGGUUUGUAUACUGCUUCUGCCUGUGACGAAGCGUUAGUGACGGUACUGGGUAAAGAAGCACCGGCUAACUACGUG